UGACUAUUCAUCUCUAUUUCUGUAUAUUUGUCUAUAUUUACAAAAGAAUGAAUGAAAAUAAUAUGUAUAGAACUCUCUAGAAUAUAUACAAUAUUUGCCCCAAAAUAAAUACAACUGUGUAUCAUUGUGUAUGAGCCUGUUGCUUGGGCUGCUUGGGCUGGUCCAGUACUUGGGCUGCAGACUCUUUAACUCCAACAUUUCUUGAGCCAUAAAUCAGUACGACAAAACAGGUAAUUUGCAUAUACUGACAUCGUGAGCAGAAUCAGCAACCAACAAGGUACAAAGAGAGAGAGUAUCAGAUAUUAGGCAGUAGAACUAAAAGAGAAAGCCAUCUUUCAAAAUUUCAUAUAAACUAAAGACCACUCUAACACUUUCAGGAAUAUGAGUUACACUUGUCUAUUCAUAUAAACAUGACUAUAGUUAUUUCCUAACAUCUUAACUAUGAAUGACUCUAUAAAUAUUAAAUUUCACAACAAUCACUUGAGUAAAAUGCCAUAAAUGAAUGGGGACUAACACAAAACACAAUUAUUGUUAAUUCCAACUAAACACAUUUGUUUUGCUAUACAAUGAAUCAUCGUAGGUCUAUUUUCUUGUAGUGUCACUAUCAAAAUGCAUGAUGUAGGAGUUAAUAGUUAACUCCUUGCAUCAAAGUUAAAACUAAAAUUUUAAAUUUAUACAAAUGAAACCCAACCAUUUAGUAAUUGGCAAACAAGGUAACAUGAAGAAUGAGACAAGUCCUAUGAUUUAUAUAAAGAUAUAUUUUUCAUAAAUAUAUAUCUAAAAAAAGAUAUAUAGAUAUACCUGUCGCAGCAAGGACAAAACUAAAAAACAAAAGUCAAGAUGGAUGAUGAGCCAGUAGUGCCAACCUUCCUUCAGUUAUCAACCUUUAUACUCUUUAAUCUUCUACAAAAUCAAGAUGACUUGUAU
RNAcentral lists this long non-coding RNA (927 nucleotides) under Nicotiana benthamiana. RNAcentral describes it as "long non-coding RNA (NBEN_LNC016985)". The record is from RNAcentral. Lineage: Eukaryota; Viridiplantae; Streptophyta; Magnoliopsida; Solanales; Solanaceae.